AUUGAACGCUGGCGGCAGGCCUAACACAUGCAAGUCGAACGAGUGGCGGACGGGUGAGUAAUGUCUGGGAAACAGCCUGAUGGAGGGGGAUAACUACUGGAAACGGUAGCUAAUACCGCACACCAUCAGAUGUGCCCAGAUGGGAUUAGCUAGUUGGUGGGGGAACGGCGCACCAAGGCGACGAUCCCUAGCUGGUCUGAGAGGAUGACCAGCCACACUGGAACUGAGGCACGGUCCAGACUCCUACGGGAGGCAGCAGUGGGGAAUAUUGCACAAUUGGCGCAAGCCUGAUGCAGCCAUGCCGCGUGUAUGAAGAAGGCCUUCGGGUUGUAAAGUACUUUCAGCGGGGAGGCGUUACCCGCAGAAGAAGCACCGGCUAACUCCGUGCCAGCAGCCGCGGUAAUUC
Molecule: ribosomal RNA, 406 nt
Filed under: uncultured bacterium
Lineage: Bacteria
Description: partial 16S ribosomal RNA
Rfam family: Bacterial small subunit ribosomal RNA
Source: RNAcentral